GACGAACGCUGGCGGCGUGCCUAAUACAUGCAAGUCGAGCGAAGUUUUUCUGGUGCUUGCACCGGAAAAACUUAGCGGCGAACGGGUGAGUAACACGUAAAGAACCUGCCUCAUAGACUGGGACAACUAUUGGAAACAAUAGCUAAUACCGGAUAACAGCAUUAACUGCAUGGUUGAUGUUUAAAAGUUGGUUUUGCUAACACUAUGAGAUGGCUUUGCGGUGCAUUAGCUAGUUGGUGGGGUAAAGGCCUACCAAGGCGACGAUGCAUAGCCGACCUGAGAGGGUGAUCGGCCACACUGGGACUGAGACACGGCCCAGACUCCUACGGGAGGCAGCAGUAGGGAAUCUUCCGCAAUGGGCGAAAGCCUGACGGAGCAACGCCGCGUGAGUGAAGAAGGAUUUCGGUUCGUAAAGCUCUGUUGUUAGGGAAGAAUGAUUGUGUAGUAACUAUACACAGUAGAGACGGUACCUAACCAGAAAGCCACGGCUAACUACGUG
Molecule: ribosomal RNA, 499 nt
Filed under: uncultured bacterium
Lineage: Bacteria
Description: partial 16S ribosomal RNA
Rfam family: Bacterial small subunit ribosomal RNA
Source: RNAcentral